GGUUCCCUGGGGCAUUCGCCAAUCAAAAAUGUUCUUGAGCCGAUACACUUCCAACCGGAGGCUGUCUCGAUAGAAGUUGUUGUGCAUGUCCGCCAGCCGGAAAGCCUUAUGCUUCGCGAGCGCCACCACCUGAACCCGUGGGUUCAGGGCGACUUUGGUAGCGGUGUCUUGGGGAACUU
This 179-nucleotide non-coding RNA is filed under the name Gammaproteobacteria bacterium. RNAcentral's name for it is "6S RNA". It matches the Rfam family "6S / SsrS RNA". Rfam says of the family: E. coli 6S RNA was the first non coding RNA to be sequenced, but its function was unknown until recently. The record is from RNAcentral. Lineage: Bacteria; Pseudomonadati; Pseudomonadota; Gammaproteobacteria.